CUGUUUUUUCGAACACUUGAGAUGGUUGUAAAUUUUUUUAAAAUACAACGCAUACACAUCCCAAUUGAUACUGACAGAUGGUUAGCAGAGCCAAAGCUUGAGCUUGCAUACAUUUCAACUGCCCAUAGAAAGAUCAUACCCGAUGAAAAUCACACCUGCGGUUAAUAGAUUUGGCGGAUGUAUCUGGACAAAUAGAGGUUGAAAGGAUCACUAAAUCAAUCAUCAUCAUCGCUAUCAUAUUGUUGACACAACGAGAGCAGACCACUGCUUGUCGCAGCAUCAGUGCUCUGCGAGUCUUGCUUGUUUACUUCUACUGUCUGCUUGCUGUUGGAGUGUAAGACUGGCUUCUUCACUAUGGAUAUUUUGACUGAUGAGGACUUCAAAAUGAUUUUACUAUCACCUAUCGAUGCUUUAUCUUUGUUUUUAGAGAUGUCAUUAAUGCUGGCUUUCGUCAAAAAGUCUGUGGGCUUUUCAUCAGGUUCCUCAGAAAACAACUCUCUAAAGAAGAGAAAGGUUUCGGAGGAACCUGAUGAAAA
This 536-nucleotide unclassified non-coding RNA is filed under the name Hevea brasiliensis (rubber tree). Lineage: Eukaryota; Viridiplantae; Streptophyta; Magnoliopsida; Malpighiales; Euphorbiaceae. The record is from RNAcentral.